RNAcentral lists this ribosomal RNA (296 nucleotides) under uncultured bacterium. Its description in RNAcentral is "partial 16S ribosomal RNA". It matches the Rfam family "Bacterial small subunit ribosomal RNA", at positions 333 to 626 of the family's 1533-position model. The record is from RNAcentral.
AUCAUCCUACGGGACGCAGCAGUGAGGAAUAUUGGUCAAUGGGCAGGAGCCUGAACCAGCCAAGUCGCGUGAGGGAAGACGGUCCUAUGGAUUGUAAACCUCUUUAGGCGGGGAGCAAUGCCGGGCACGCGUGCCCGGAGGGAGAGUACCCGCAGAAUAAGCAUCGGCUAACUCCGUGCCAGCAGCCGCGGUAAUACGGAGGAUGCGAGCGUUAUCCGGAUUUAUUGGGUUUAAAGGGUGCGUAGGCGGAUUUUUAAGUCUGCGGUAAAAUGUCCGGGCUCAACCCGGGCCGGCCG